GGAAGUAAAAGUUGUAACAAGGUUUCCGUAGGUGAACCUGCGGAAGGAUCAUUAUCGUACAAAAUGUGAGGGGCAUGCGAGGGCUGUCGCUGACCCAAAAGUCGUGCACGCCCGAGUGUGUCCUCUUGCAUAAUAAUCCAUCUCACCCUUUGUGCAUCACCGCGUGGGCACCCUUCGGGAUCAUCUCGGAGGGGGGCUCGCGUUUUCACACAAACCCCCCUUAUAAAAGUGUAGAAUGACCACAUUUAUGCAAUCAAUACAACUUUCAACAACGGAUCUCUUGGCUCUC
This 289-nucleotide unclassified non-coding RNA is filed under the name plant metagenome. RNAcentral describes it as "partial contains small subunit ribosomal RNA, internal transcribed spacer 1, and 5.8S ribosomal RNA". The stretch from base 1 to 54 matches the Rfam family "Eukaryotic small subunit ribosomal RNA", at positions 1778 to 1831 of the family's 1831-position model. The record is from RNAcentral.